UAGGGAAUCUUCCGCAAUGGGCGAAAGCCUGACGGAGCAACGCCGCGUGAGUGAUGAAGGUCUUCGGAUCGUAAAACUCUGUUAUUAGGGAAGAACAAAUGUGUAAGUAACUAUGCACGUCUUGACGGUACCUAAUCAGAAAGCCACGGCUAACUACGUGCCAGCAGCCGCGGUAAUACGUAGGUGGCAAGCGUUAUCCGGAAUUAUUGGGCGUAAAGCGCGCGUAGGCGGUUUUUUAAGUCUGAUGUGAAAGCCCACGGCUCAACCGUGGAGGGUCAUUGGAAACUGGAAAACUUGAGUGCAGAAGAGGAAAAUGGAGUUCCAUGUGUGGCGGGGAAAUGCGCAGAGAUAUGGAGGAACACCAGUGGCGAAGGCGACUUUCUGGUCUGUAACUGACGCUGAUGUGCGAAAGCGUGGGGAUCAAACAGG
RNAcentral lists this ribosomal RNA (429 nucleotides) under Actinomycetes bacterium. RNAcentral describes it as "Actinobacteria bacterium partial 16S ribosomal RNA". It matches the Rfam family "Bacterial small subunit ribosomal RNA", at positions 355 to 776 of the family's 1533-position model. The record is from RNAcentral. Lineage: Bacteria; Bacillati; Actinomycetota; Actinomycetes.